Long non-coding RNA from Ceratitis capitata (Mediterranean fruit fly), 1197 nucleotides. RefSeq lists it as uncharacterized. The record is from RefSeq and is a predicted model, not a curated record. The transcript has 2 exons. Lineage: Eukaryota; Metazoa; Arthropoda; Insecta; Diptera; Tephritidae.
UUGAAAAAGUCCGGAUAUAACUCCUCUUGCAAUAAAUAGUACAGAAGUGGUGUAUAUACGGCUGAAAUGGAAAAUGAUAAAUGUUAUACUUAUAAUUACAUCUGAGUUGCAUACAUUGAACGCCUCCAAACUGAAUUGUUGAAAGAGAAUGUAAGAAAAUUGUCCUAAGUUUUUGCCUGAGAUUCAGAGUAAAUCGAGUUUCAAUAAAUAACGGCAGGGAAGUACCCGGAUGAAAAAGUAUUCAUAUUUGAAGUCAAAUGUUGUCAAAAUAAUAAUUUGCUUCUGUCCGCUAGCCACUCAAGAUAUUUACACUCACGCAACUCCAGCUCUUUCUUUUUCUGUCUGCAUAUGCGUCUUGCUUAUCUUCGCUGCUACGAUAUAGUGGUCCUGCUCAGUAUUGGGCUCUCAGAGCGUACGCAGUUCAAGAAAUCGGAGAAAUAUCAUCGGUCUAUUACAACAUGAUCCACCAGAUUUUGAGUCUUUCGAUCAGGGACAGUCCCGUAGAUUCAUGUAUUUUCUUGUGCUGAAACCACAGACGACCAUAUCUUCCGCCCCGGCGAAAUCCCUUAACAUCGAACCAUUUCGGAACGUUCCCUUGGUCGCAUCGUCAUCAUCUUUUCAUCGAUUAUAAAGCUGUGUCCUUGGUAUUACAGAGCAAACUAGCGCUAGACAACAGCGGACACUUAAUACUGGAGAAAAUAAAAAGAUCUGCAGAGUAAAUGGAUCAGGCACAAUAUUUUACAAGGAUGUACACCUGCUGGCGUAUGUCGAUGACAUUGAUAUUGUAGGCCUUAACAACCGCGCCGUUACUUCUGUUUUCUUCAAGUUUGACAUAGAAGCAAAGUGACAACAAACAAACAGUCGGGGCAUUUAGGUCUCUGCUCUCGCGUCACUACUGACUCUUAGCUUCUAGAUUGUAGAUAAUUUCUUCUAUCUAGUGACCAACAUUAACACCAAUAAUAAUGACAGCCAUGAAAUUCAACGCAGAAAAAGGAACUACUUUAAACUGAGUAUGAUAUUGAAAAGUAAAGUCAUCUCUCGACGUAUGAAAGCGCUUUAGCUUUGAAAGUAUUCGAUGCAGUACCCGCUGGCGGAAGCAGAGCAAGAGGAAAACCCCCACUCUGUUCGAAAGAUCAACUGGAGAGUGAAAUUAAAAAUGUAAAUAAUUUAAUAAUAAGAAUUAAUAAGGAAAUUAAA